AAACCAACCGGGAUUGCCUCAGUAACGGCGAGUGAAGCGGCAAAAGCUCAAAUUUGAAAUCUGGUAUCUUGCGAUGCCCGAGUUGUAAUUUGAAGAAGGUAACUUUGGGAGUGGCCCUUAUCUAUGUUCCUUGGAACAGGACGUCACAGAGGGUGAGAAUCCCGUCUGAUGGGGAGAUCCACUUCUAUGUAAAGUGCUUUCGACGAGUCGAGUUGUUUGGGAAUGCAGCUCUAAGUGGGUGGUAAAUUCCAUCUAAAGCUAAAUAUUGGCGAGAGACCGAUAGCGAACAAGUACAGUGAUGGAAAGAUGAAAAGAACUUUGAAAAGAGAGUGAAAAAGUACGUGAAAUUGUUGAAAGGGAAGGGUAUUAGAUCAGACUUGGUUGUGUGUGCUUACCGUGGACUUGUUUUGCGGGUACUCGCGCACGGCUGGGCCAGCAUCGAUUGAUUUGGCAGGAUAAAGACUAUUGGAACGUGGCACUCGUAUUUUGCGGGUGUGUUAUAGCCAUGGUCAAUACUGCCCUGGUCGAUCGAGGACUGCGUUCAUUUUGAACUAGGAUGCUGGCGUAAUGAUCUAAUAUCGC
This 582-nucleotide ribosomal RNA is filed under the name Wickerhamomyces sp. ST-2637. Its description in RNAcentral is "eukaryotic LSU rRNA". It matches the Rfam family "Eukaryotic large subunit ribosomal RNA", at positions 62 to 648 of the family's 3401-position model. Lineage: Eukaryota; Fungi; Ascomycota; Saccharomycetes; Phaffomycetales; Wickerhamomycetaceae. The record is from RNAcentral.